ACAUAGUACAAAAUAACACCCAAACCCAAACGUAGGAGCAUAACUUUAUAACGUAUGUCUUUUAAAUUAUGAGAUGACAAAAUAUUUGACAGCUUUACAUGCUCCCCAAAACAAUUUGAUUAGUUCCAUUAUGUUUUGGCAUGUUUUUUAGAAAAUUUACUUUAAUAAAAUUACAUUGUAUUAUAUUAUUAUGUAGAUAAGUGACACAAUCGGUAAAAUAUUAACAGAGAUGUCUACAAUAUAAUAAUUACAUUUCAGUGCUGCAUCGGUUUCCGGAUCCAGAAAAGGCAAAAGAGCGGUUUGAUCUUUGGGUCAAUUCCAUAGGAGGCAAUAUACUGACUUUACAAAAUGAAUUCAUUCAUAAAUAUCGGCGUGUUUGUAACACUCAUUUUGCAGAAAAGUAUUAUUGCCGCAACAAUCGAAUCAGCAAACUAGCAAUAACAACUUUAUUGUUGCCUGACUCUUCACUGAUUGAAAAUAGGCUACUGAGGCAGUUGCAAAAUGUGGUUGGAUCUUUGCCAUCAACCUCACAAGGAGGCACAGAUUUCAUUACAACAUUUACAGAAGAAAUAAUCCCAGUGCAGCAGUCUCGAAAUUUACCUAAAUCUUUACCAUCAGGCUUACAAGAUCUCAUUGAAAUUGAAGCCAAUAAAGAAAAUCGCCCUGUUUGUCAAACUGAA
Long non-coding RNA from Manduca sexta (tobacco hornworm), 680 nucleotides. RefSeq lists it as uncharacterized. The transcript is spliced from 4 exons. Lineage: Eukaryota; Metazoa; Arthropoda; Insecta; Lepidoptera; Sphingidae. The record is from RefSeq and is a predicted model, not a curated record.